AGUGUGUGAUUGUGAUUCAGUGAAGUGCAACAGCGAAUUCCGCCAUUUGCUUCUGGUUCAGUUAUCGAGGUAGUUGCACGUGUCUGUUUUGUGCUGCAGUGAACUAAUACUUUACAUUGAAAUAUCUGAGAUUGUUUAUGGGUCAAGUCCAUAGAGAGAGGAUUGGUUUGUCUUGUGGACUUUUACAGAAGAAAGAGUAAAGGUGAAAGGUUGUUAGCCUUACACCCAACCCCCAACCUGGAGG
Zootermopsis nevadensis is the source of this 244-nucleotide non-coding RNA. The record is from RefSeq and is a predicted model, not a curated record. NCBI's taxonomy places the organism in Eukaryota, Metazoa, Arthropoda, Insecta, Blattodea, Termopsidae.